Molecule: ribosomal RNA, 252 nt
Filed under: uncultured bacterium
Lineage: Bacteria
Description: partial 16S ribosomal RNA
Rfam family: Bacterial small subunit ribosomal RNA
Source: RNAcentral
ACGGAGGGAGCUAGCGUUGUUCGGAAUUACUGGGCGUAAAGCGCGCGUAGGCGGUUUUUUAAGUCAGAGGUGAAAGCCCAGUGCUCAACACUGGAACUGCCUUUGAAACUGGAAAACUUGAAUCUUGGAGAGGUCAGUGGAAUUCCGAGUGUAGAGGUGAAAUUCGUAGAUAUUCGGAAGAACACCAGUGGCGAAGGCGACUGACUGGACAAGUAUUGACGCUGAGGUGCGAAAGCGUGGGGAGCAAACAGG